GUGGCGUUCCCAUCACCAAAUUUAUAUUGAUUCUCUCUAUAAUGUCAAUGACAUGAACCUUACCCUGUCUGUUUAUAUAUGGCUUAGCGUUUCUCUCCUCCCCCCUGCAGCUCUCCCCCAAGGCCAUCAACUCUACUUACUUGGACAGGAAAAAGAAAUCAAUGGGUGCAAGAAUGAGGAUUAAUCUGGCUCUUGCUUUAGCAAUAUUGAUGGUGGUGAUGAUGAGCUCCUGCUUGGCUAGAAAAGUUAUCAAAGUAGAUGUGCUCAAGCAUGAUGACACCAUUGUCCAUGGCCGGCAGCUGCUUGAUGAAGGCGACAAAGUCGGAGCCGGCUACCCUGAGAGCAAUGUGAACAACCACCAUUACAUUCCUAGGCAGGACUUCAAUAACUACCCUGUUGGUCCUGGAGAUGAAAGUGGGUGAAUCGACAAGAGCAAUACAUGGUAAUGGUGUGAGGAAUAAAUUACCUACCGUUUCGGAUGAUGAUAUGAUGUUACUUCAUGUUUAAUUAGGUUUUCCCAUACAUAUACCUCUGUGAUCUAAUUAGCUUCUGUAUCGUGCUAUGUACUUUGUAUCAUCGUUCUGGUUGUA
Theobroma cacao (cacao) is the source of this 590-nucleotide non-coding RNA. Lineage: Eukaryota; Viridiplantae; Streptophyta; Magnoliopsida; Malvales; Malvaceae. The record is from RefSeq and is a predicted model, not a curated record.